ACGGGUGAGUAACACGUGGGAACGUACCCUUUGGUUCGGAAUAACGCUGGGAAACUAGCGCUAAUACCGGAUACGCCCUUGGCCUUUGGCCCUUGGGGAAAGGCUUGCUGCCGAAGGAUCGGCCCGCGUCUGAUUAGCUAGUUGGUGGGGUAAUGGCCUACCAAGGCGACGAUCAGUAGCUGGUCUGAGAGGAUGAUCAGCCACACUGGGACUGAGACACGGCCCAGACUCCUACGGGAGGCAGCAGUGGGGAAUAUUGGACAAUGGGCGCAAGCCUGAUCCAGCCAUGCCGCGUGAGUGAUGAAGGCCUUAGGGUUGUAAAGCUCUUUUGUCCGGGACGAUAAUGACGGUACCGGAAGAAUAAGCCCCGGCUAACUUCGUGCCAGCAGCCGCGGUAAUACGAAGGGGGCUAGCGUUGCUCGGAAUCACUGGGCGUAAAGGGCGCGUAGGCGGCCAUUCAAGUCGGGGGUGAAAGCCUGUGGCUCAACCACAGAAUUGCCUUCGAUACUGUUUGGCUUGAGUUUGGUAGAGGUUGGUGGAACUGCGAGUGUAGAGGUGAAAUUCGUAGA
RNAcentral lists this ribosomal RNA (569 nucleotides) under uncultured Methylobacterium sp. Its description in RNAcentral is "bacterial SSU rRNA". It matches the Rfam family "Bacterial small subunit ribosomal RNA", at positions 102 to 694 of the family's 1533-position model. Lineage: Bacteria; Pseudomonadati; Pseudomonadota; Alphaproteobacteria; Hyphomicrobiales; Methylobacteriaceae. The record is from RNAcentral.